Molecule: ribosomal RNA, 1320 nt
Filed under: Clohesyomyces sp.
Lineage: Eukaryota; Fungi; Ascomycota; Dothideomycetes; Pleosporales; Lindgomycetaceae
Description: LSU rRNA
Rfam family: Eukaryotic large subunit ribosomal RNA
Source: RNAcentral
GAUUGCCCUAGUAACGGCGAGUGAAGCGGCAACAGCUCAAAUUUGAAAUCUGGCUCCUUCCGGAGUCCGAGUUGUAAUUUGUAGAGGGUGCUUUGGCGUCGGCCAUGGUCUAAGUUCCUUGGAACAGGACGUCACAGAGGGUGAGAAUCCCGUACGUGGCCGCUGGCCUUCGCCAUGUAAAGCCCCUUCGACGAGUCGAGUUGUUUGGGAAUGCAGCUCUAAAUGGGAGGUAAAUUUCUUCUAAAGCUAAAUAUUGGCCAGAGACCGAUAGCGCACAAGUAGAGUGAUCGAAAGAUGAAAAGCACUUUGGAAAGAGAGUCAAAAAGCACGUGAAAUUGUUGAAAGGGAAGCGCUUGCAGCCAGACUUGCCCGUAGUUGCUCAUCCAGGUUUCGGCCUGGUGCACUCUUCUGCGGGCAGGCCAGCAUCAGUCCAGGCGGUCGGAUAAAGGUCCCGGGAAUGUGGCUCUCUUCGGGGAGUGUUAUAGCCCGGGGCGCAAUGCGGCCAGCUUGGACUGAGGUCCGCGCAUCUGCUAGGAUGCUGGCGUAAUGGCUGUAAGCGGCCCGUCUUGAAACACGGACCAAGGAGUCUAACAUCUAUGCGAGUGUUUGGGUGUCAAGCCCGAGCGCGCAAUGAAAGUGAACGGAGGUGGGAACCCGCAAGGGCGCACCAUCGACCGAUCCUGAUGUCUUCGGAUGGAUUUGAGUAAGAGCAUAGCUGUUGGGACCCGAAAGAUGGUGAACUAUGCCUGAAUAGGGUGAAGCCAGAGGAAACUCUGGUGGAGGCUCGCAGCGGUUCUGACGUGCAAAUCGAUCGUCAAAUUUGGGCAUAGGGGCGAAAGACUAAUCGAACUAUCUAGUAGCUGGUUCCUGCCGAAGUUUCCCUCAGGAUAGCAGUAACGUUUUCAGUUUUAUGAGGUAAAGCGAAUGAUUAGAGGCCUGGGGGUUGAAACAACCUUCACCUAUUCUCAAACUUUAAAUAUGUAAGAAGUCCUUGUUACUUAAUUGAACGUGGACAUUUGAAUGUACCGUUACUAGUGGGCCAUUUUUGGUAAGCAGAACUGGCGAUGCGGGAUGAACCGAACGCGGGGUUAAGGUGCCAGAAUGCACGCUCAUCAGACACCACAAAAGGUGUUAGUUCAUCUAGACAGCAGGACGGUGGCCAUGGAAGUCGGAAUCCGCUAAGGAGUGUGUAACAACUCACCUGCCGAAUGAACUAGCCCUGAAAAUGGAUGGCGCUCAAGCGUGCUACCCAUACCCCGCCGCCAGGGCACAUAUUAUGCCCUGGCGAGUAGGCAGGCGUGGAGGCUUGUGACGAAGCCU